Non-coding RNA from Caenorhabditis brenneri, 56 nucleotides. NCBI's taxonomy places the organism in Eukaryota, Metazoa, Nematoda, Chromadorea, Rhabditida, Rhabditidae. The record is from Rfam.
GGCCUAGUGGAUACGGCACCGGACUCCGGAACCGGGCAUGGGGGUUCGAGUCCCCC